UACGGAGGGUGCGAGCGUUAUUCGGAAUUACUGGGCGUAAAGCGCGUGCAGGCGGGAGAGAAAGUCUGAUGUGAAAGCCCGGGGCUCAACCCCGGAAGUGCAUUGGAAACUUCUCUUCUUGAGUACUGGAGAGGAAGGGGGAAUUCCCGGUGUAGAGGUGAAAUUCGUAGAGAUCGGGAGGAAUACCAGUGGCGAAGGCGCCCUUCUGGACAGUUACUGACGCUGAGACGCGAAAGCGUGGGGAGCAAACAGG
This 253-nucleotide ribosomal RNA is filed under the name Syntrophobacter sp. Its description in RNAcentral is "partial 16S ribosomal RNA". It matches the Rfam family "Bacterial small subunit ribosomal RNA", at positions 524 to 776 of the family's 1533-position model. Lineage: Bacteria; Pseudomonadati; Thermodesulfobacteriota; Syntrophobacteria; Syntrophobacterales; Syntrophobacteraceae. The record is from RNAcentral. RNAcentral also lists the same sequence under 1 other name.